GACGAACGCUGGCGGCGUGCUUAACACAUGCAAGUCGUACGGUAAGGCCCUUUCGGGGGUACACGAGUGGCGCACGGGUGAGUAACACGUGAGUAACCUGCCCACAACUUUGGGAUAACGCUAGGAAACUGGUGCUAAUACUGGAUAUGUGCUCCUGCUGCAUGGUGGGGGUUGGAAAGCUCCGGCGGUUGUGGAUGGACUCGCGGCCUAUCAGCUUGUUGGUGGGGUAGUGGCCUACCAAGGCGGCGACGGGUAGCCGGCCUGAGAGGGUGACCGGCCACAUUGGGACUGAGAUACGGCCCAGGCUCCUACGGGAGGCAGCAGUGGGGAAUAUUGCACAAUGGGCGCAAGCCUGAUGCAGCAACGCCGCGUGCGGGAUGACGGCCUUCGGGUUGUAAACCGCUUUCAGCAGGGACGAAGCUUUUUGUGACGGUACCUGCAGAAGAAGCACCGGCUAACUACGUG
This 465-nucleotide ribosomal RNA is filed under the name uncultured bacterium. RNAcentral describes it as "partial 16S ribosomal RNA". It matches the Rfam family "Bacterial small subunit ribosomal RNA", at positions 28 to 507 of the family's 1533-position model. The record is from RNAcentral.